This is a long non-coding RNA of Megalobrama amblycephala (Wuchang bream), 1363 nucleotides long. RefSeq lists it as uncharacterized. The transcript is spliced from 4 exons. The record is from RefSeq and is a predicted model, not a curated record. Lineage: Eukaryota; Metazoa; Chordata; Actinopteri; Cypriniformes; Xenocyprididae.
CCUUGUAAUUUAGUUUGUUUAUUGCAUCUCACUUUACCUUCGAUACACAUAUUGCCAACUUGCAGUAGAACAAGUGGUAAAUUGUUGCACAACAUUUAACAUUCAAGUCACCUUUAUUUAUACAAUACAGAAUACUUCAAAGCAGCUUCAUAGUGAUAAGAGGAAAAUGAUUCAGUGAGUUCAUUUCGGCUACAAAAGAAAGUAGUGUCAUUGUUGAUUAAGUUCUGUUGUAACGGUCAUCAAUUAUUAAUUAAAUUAAUAAUUAAUUUAAUCUAUAAAGCAGUUCUGCAGAAAACAGUGAUGUCAUCAUCCAGCUCAGUUCAGUUCUCAUCCAAUAGUGUCAAUGCAGUCAAAUCAAUAAUACUGUUGAAUAAUAUAUAAUAUUUACAUUAUCAUUUAUACUAUAGCCACUUUUAUGUCCCAGUGUAAUGCGGCUGCUGCAGACAAGAAGUGUUGGAUCCAAAUAAAGUAGAAAUUUAUUGAAACAGUGCAACUGAAAUAACUUUAGACAAGGAACCUGAUAAACCCAGGCACAUGAACAUGACGCUACAACAAACAUACAUGAUACAACCAUAUAUCGGGAACACUAGACAAAGUACAUGAAAAACACUGGGGUAUUUAUAUACAAGGGGUUAUUGGCAAACAAGACACACCUGGGAACAAUCAGGAACUAAUCAAUAAGAAAAACUACGAAGGACUACAAAACAUGAUCAGAAACAGAGAGCCAGAGUGGUGCCGGCAGAGCAGGUGGCCAGGGCGGCGACAUUGGAGAACACCAUGGUGGAGCAGAUGACCACCACAGCUGGGCAGACAGGGCUAAAGAUCCCCACGCCGGAGCAGAAGACCACCACAGCUGAGUAGACAGGCUUGAAGACCCCCAUGGCAGAUCUGGUGGAACCGGAGACCACCACAGCUGAUUAGCACAAUAACUGCAGCAAUGUCAGGACCUGGUGGCUGGAGCCCAGUGAAGUCUGUCACUCCAGAGAUGAAUGAAUUCUGCCUUGAUGUGAAGUCAGACAUAGAGAAGAUGGCUAGAACCCAUUAUGGUGUUUACACUCCUGUAAGCUUCGCUUAUCAGAUUACGAAUGAACCGAACAUAAACUAUUUGGUCAAGGUGGACGUCAGAGAUGUGUGAGUUCAUGCGAUGAUAUCUGUAGAUCCCCCCGUCUAUAAAGUGAAACUGACUGUGCUUAGAGUCCUGUACCCUAAAGCCUCCAGUGAGCCUCUGGUCCCCUUCUGAACACGUCUAACCACAUGCAGAAAAUAGUCUGUCUAAUCUAAUAACAGACACAAUGAGCUGCCAUAGAGGAACUAUUGAAAACUGUAUGAUUCCUCAAUAUUAAACUCUAUAUUCAAACCCUCA